ACGCUGGCGGCACGCCUAACACAUGCAAGUCGAACGAAGUAGCAAUACUUAGUGGCAGACGGGUGAGUAACAUGUAGGUAUCUGCCCUUUGGCCUGGAAUAACACGAGGAAACUUGUGCUAAUACCGGAUAAGUCUUUACAGAGAAAGCUUUAUGCACCAUUGGAUGAGCCUGCACUUGAUUAGUUUGUUGGUGGGGUAAUGGCCUACCAAGACUGUGAUCAAUAGCUGAUUUGAGAGGAUGAUCAGCCACAUUGGGACUGAGACACGGCCCAAACUCCUACGGGAGGCAGCAGUGGGGAAUCUUGCACAAUGGAGGAAACUCUGAUGCAGCGAUGCCGCGUGAGUGAAGAAGGCCUUUGGGUUGUAAAGCUCUUUCGUCGGGGAAGAAAAUGACUGUACCCGAAUAAGAAGGUCCGGCUAACUUCGUGCCAGCAGCCGCGGUAAUACGAAGGGACCUAGCGUAGUUCGGAAUUACUGGGCUUAAAGAGUUCGUAGGUGGUUGAAAAAGUUGGUGGUGAAAUCCCAGAGCUUAACUCUGGAACUGCCAUCAAAACUUUUCAGCUAGAGUAUGAUAGAGGAAAGCAGAAUUUCUAGUGUAGAGGUGAAAUUCGUAGAUAUUAGAAAGAAUACCAAUUGCGAAGGCAGCUUUCUGGAUCAUUACUGACACUGAGGAACGAAAGCAUGGGUAGCGAAGAGGAUUAGAUACCCUCGUAGUCCAUGCCGUAAACGAUGUGUGUUAGACGUUGGAAAUUCAUUUUCAGUGUCGCAGCGAAAGCGAUAAACACACCGCCUGGGGAGUACGACCGCAAGGUUAAAACUCAAAUGAAUUGACGGGGACCCGCACAAGUAGUGGAGCAUGUGGUUUAAUUCGAAGAUACGCGCAGAACCUUACCAACACUUGACAUGUUCGUCGCGACUUUAAGAGAUUAAAGUUUUCGGUUCGGCCGGACGAAACACAGGUGCUGCAUGGCUGUCGUCAGCUCGUGUCGUGAGAUGUUGGGUUAAGUCCCGCAACGAGCGCAACCCUCACUUUUAGUUGCCAUCAUUAAGUUGGGCACUCUGAAAGAACUGCCAGUGAUAAGCUGGAGGAAGGUGGGGAUGACGUCAAGUCCUCAUGGCCCUUACGUGUUGGGCUACACACGUGCUACAAUGGUAUCUACAACAGGAAGCAAGACGGCGACGUUAAGCAAAUCCUUAAAAGAUACCUCAGUUCGGAUUGCACUCUGCAACUCGAGUGCAUGAAGCUGGAAUUACUAGUAAUCGUGGAUCAGCGUGCCACGGUGAAUGCGUUCCCGGGUCUUGUACACACCGCCCGUCACACCAUGGGAGUUGGUUCUACCUUAAGGCAAGGUUUAAAACCCUUGACCACGGUAUAGUCAGCGACUGGGGUG
RNAcentral lists this ribosomal RNA (1392 nucleotides) under uncultured marine bacterium. RNAcentral's name for it is "16S ribosomal RNA". It matches the Rfam family "Bacterial small subunit ribosomal RNA". The record is from RNAcentral.